Molecule: long non-coding RNA, 486 nt
Organism: Contarinia nasturtii (swede midge)
Lineage: Eukaryota; Metazoa; Arthropoda; Insecta; Diptera; Cecidomyiidae
Exons: 3
Source: RefSeq, a predicted model, not a curated record
CCAGAAAAUUCAACCGCUAAACCAUGGCUACCAAUCAAUCAGAACUACAAGGAUGUGAAUGUGGCAACACAACGGCAAAUACCACGUAGCACAUUGAACUUUUACAAACAAUUGAUACAAAUUCGUAAACAUGAUACGUUUGUGUACGGUUCAUUCAAAUCGACUGUUUUGAAUGAAAAUGUGUUUGCGUAUGUCAGAGAGCUUGAAAAUAGUGACACUUACUGGAUCCUCAUAAACUUUGGAAUUCGUGAAGAGAAAAUCGAUCUGACUAAAAGUAAUCUGGGUAAAAAUGUGAAAGAAUUAGAGCUGGCUCUCGUUAGCACUGAUUCAUGCUACGUGAAAGGUCAUAUUGUAAAAUCCAAUGAAAUUGUCUUAGGAAGAUAUGAUGCAAUUAUAUUGAGAGGUGCUGUUCGUCAUUCAUCAUAAAUAUUAACUUUUAAACGAUUUUGUAUGAAAUAAAUUAUAAUGUACUAACGUUUACAAUGA